Molecule: ribosomal RNA, 301 nt
Filed under: uncultured bacterium
Lineage: Bacteria
Description: partial 16S ribosomal RNA
Rfam family: Bacterial small subunit ribosomal RNA
Source: RNAcentral
CAGCAGCCGCGGGAAUACGGAGGGGGCUAGCGUUGUUCGGAAUUACUGGGCGUAAAGCGCACGUAGGCGGCUUUGCAAGUCAGAGGUGAAAGCCCGGGGCUCAACUCCGGAAUAGCCUUUGAGACUGCAUCGCUUGAACACGGGAGAGGUGAGUGGAAUUCCGAGUGUAGAGGUGAAAUUCGUAGAUAUUCGGAAGAACACCAGUGGCGAAGGCGGCUCACUGGACCGUUGUUGACGCUGAGGUGCGAAAGCGUGGGAAGCAAACAGGAUUAGAUACCCCGGUAGUCCCUGUCUCUUAUAC